Molecule: ribosomal RNA, 650 nt
Filed under: Bacillus sp. SRP4
Lineage: Bacteria; Bacillati; Bacillota; Bacilli; Caryophanales; Bacillaceae
Description: bacterial SSU rRNA
Rfam family: Bacterial small subunit ribosomal RNA
Source: RNAcentral
GUAGUGCCUAAUACUGCAAGUCGAGCGAAUGAUGAAGAAGCUUGCUUCUUCUGAUUUAGCGGCGGACGGGUGAGUAACACGUGGGCAACCUGCCCUGUAGAUUGGGAUAACUCCGGGAAACCGGGGCUAAUACCGAAUAAUCCAUUCCCUCACAUGUGGGAAUGUUAAAAGACGGUUUCGGCUGUCACUACCGGAUGGGCCCGCGGCCCAUUAACUAGUUGGUGAAGUAACGGCUCACCAAGGCGACGAUGCCUAACCGACCUGAAAGGGUGAUCGGCCACACUGGGACUGAAACACGGCCCAAACUCCUACGGGAGGCAGCAGUAGGGAAUCUUCCACAAUGGACGAAAGUCUGAUGGAACAACGCCGCGUGAGUGAAGAAGGUUUUCGGAUCGUAAAACUCUGGUGUGAGGGAAGAACAAGUACCAAAGUAACUGGUCGUACCUUGACGGUACCUCAUUAAAAAGCCACGGCUAACUACGUGCCAGCCGCCGCGGUAAUACGUAAGUGGCAAGCGUUGUCCGGAAUUAAUGGGCCUAAAGCGCGCCCAGGGCGUCCUUUAAGUCUGAUGUGAAAGCCCACGGCUCAACCGUGGAAGGUCAUUGGAAACUGGGGGACUUGAGUGCAAAAGAAGAAAGCGGAAUUCCCAG